CACAAGCGGUGGAGUAUGUGGUUAAUUCGAUGCAACGCGAAAACCUUACCUGCCCUUGACAUCCUCGGAACUUGUCAGAGAUGACUUGGUGCCUUCGGGAACCGAGAGACAGGUGCUGCAUGGCUGUCGUCAGCUCGUGUCGUGAGAUGUUGGGUUAAGUCCCAUAACGAGCGCAACCCUUAUCGUUAGUUGCCAGCUGGUAAAGCAGGGGACUCUAGCGAAACUGCCACCGUAAGGUGAGAGGAAGGUGGGGAUGACGUCAAAUCAGCACGGCCCUUAUGUCCAGGGCUACACACGUGUUACAAUGGCCGGCACAGAGGGCAGCUACCUGGUGACAGGAUGCUAAUCUCGAAAACCGGUCUCAGUUCGGAUCGAAGUCUGCAACUCGACUUCGUGAAGCUGGAUUCGCUAGUAAUCGCGCAUCAGCCAUGGCGCGGUGAAUACGUUCCCGGGCCUU
RNAcentral lists this ribosomal RNA (457 nucleotides) under uncultured Sphingobacteriales bacterium. Its description in RNAcentral is "bacterial SSU rRNA". It matches the Rfam family "Bacterial small subunit ribosomal RNA", at positions 924 to 1382 of the family's 1533-position model. Lineage: Bacteria; Pseudomonadati; Bacteroidota; Sphingobacteriia; Sphingobacteriales. The record is from RNAcentral.